RNAcentral lists this ribosomal RNA (484 nucleotides) under uncultured bacterium. RNAcentral's name for it is "partial 16S ribosomal RNA". It matches the Rfam family "Bacterial small subunit ribosomal RNA", at positions 29 to 507 of the family's 1533-position model. The record is from RNAcentral.
AUUGAACGCUGGCGGCAUGCUUUACACAUGCAAGUCGAACGGCAGCGCGGGCUUCGGCCUGGCGGCGAGUGGCGAACGGGAGAGUAAUACAUCGGAACGUGCCCAGUAGUGGGGGAUAGCUCGGCGAAAGCCGGAUUAAUACCGCAUACGACCUGAGGGUGAAAGCGGGGGAUCUUCGGACCUCGCGGUAUUGGAGCGGCCGAUGGCAGAUUAGCUAGUUGGUGGGGUAAAGGCCUACCAAGGCGACGAUCUGUAGCUGGUCUGAGAGGACGACCAGCCACACUGGGACUGAGACACGGCCCAGACUCCUACGGGAGGCAGCAGUGGGGAAUUUUGGACAAUGGGCGAAAGCCUGAUCCAGCAAUGCCGCGUGUGUGAUGAAGGCCUUCGGGUUGUAAAGCACUUUUGGCGGGAACGAAAAGGACUGUGCCAAUACCACGGUUCGAUGACGGUACCCGCAGAAUAAGCACCGGCUAACUACGUG